This 74-nucleotide transfer RNA is filed under the name Candidatus Woesebacteria bacterium. RNAcentral's name for it is "tRNA-Val". It matches the Rfam family "tRNA". Rfam says of the family: Transfer RNA (tRNA) molecules are approximately 80 nucleotides in length. Their secondary structure includes four short double-helical elements and three loops (D, anti-codon, and T loops). The record is from RNAcentral. Lineage: Bacteria; Candidatus Woeseibacteriota. RNAcentral also lists the same sequence under 1 other name.
GGGUUUGUAGCUCAAUUGGUUAGAGCGCUCGGUUUACAUCCGAAAGGUUAGAGGUUCAAGUCCUCUCAGACCCA